Molecule: ribosomal RNA, 253 nt
Filed under: uncultured bacterium
Lineage: Bacteria
Description: partial 16S ribosomal RNA
Rfam family: Bacterial small subunit ribosomal RNA
Source: RNAcentral
GACGAACCGAGCGAGCGUUGUUCGGAAUCACUGGGCUUAAAGGGCGCGUAGGCGGGCUGUCAAGUCUGGGGUGAAAUCCCGCGGCUCAACCGUGGAACUGCCUCAGAUACUGACGGCCUCGAGGGAGGUAGGGGCGAGCGGAACUGUGAGUGGAGCGGUGAAAUGCGUUGAUAUUCACAGGAACUCCGGUGGCGAAGGCGGCUCGCUGGACCUUUUCUGACGCUGAGGCGCGAAAGCUAGGGGAGCAAACGGG